RNAcentral lists this ribosomal RNA (491 nucleotides) under uncultured bacterium. RNAcentral's name for it is "partial 16S ribosomal RNA". It matches the Rfam family "Bacterial small subunit ribosomal RNA", at positions 29 to 507 of the family's 1533-position model. The record is from RNAcentral.
AGUGAACGCUGGCGGUAGGCCUAACACAUGCAAGUCGAACGGCAGCACAGUAAGAGCUUGCUCUUACGGGUGGCGAGUGGCGGACGGGUGAGGAAUACAUCGGAAUCUACUUUUUCGUGGGGGAUAACGUAGGGAAACUUACGCUAAUACCGCAUACGACCUACGGGUGAAAGCAGGGGAUCUUCGGACCUUGCGCGAUUGAAUGAGCCGAUGUCGGAUUAGCUAGUUGGCGGGGUAAAGGCCCACCAAGGCGACGAUCCGUAGCUGGUCUGAGAGGAUGAUCAGCCACACUGGAACUGAGAAACGGUCCAGACUCCACGGGAGGCAGCAGUGGGGAAUAUUGGACAAUGGGCGCAAGCCUGAUCCAGCCAUACCGCGUGGGUGAAGAAGGCCUUCGGGUUGUAAAGCCCUUUUGUUGGGAAAGAAAAGCAGCAGGUUAAUACCCCGCUGUUCUGACGGUACCCAAAGAAUAAGCACCGGCUAACUUCGUG